UCGCUCAGACUUAGACGGUACUGAAGGAACGUUGAAGACGACGACGUUGAUAGGCCGGGUGUGUAAGCGCAGCGAUGCGUUGAGCUAACCGGUACUAAUGAACCGUGAGGCUUAACCUUACAACGCCGAAG
This 131-nucleotide ribosomal RNA is filed under the name Salmonella enterica subsp. enterica serovar Enteritidis. RNAcentral's name for it is "partial 23S ribosomal RNA". It matches the Rfam family "Bacterial large subunit ribosomal RNA", at positions 2809 to 2925 of the family's 2925-position model. Lineage: Bacteria; Pseudomonadati; Pseudomonadota; Gammaproteobacteria; Enterobacterales; Enterobacteriaceae. The record is from RNAcentral.